AUAAACCUGUAUAAGAGAAUUCAAAUAUAGGGAAAGACUAAGUGCAUGAGCUUUACUUCUUAGGGUCACACGAUUAACUAUAUUUCGAACCACUAAAGUACCAAGAAACACUACAAUACUUCCCUCUAGUAACAAUACCCCUUCAUCAACUAAUAACCACAAUGUGCAACCUUGCACUCUCAAAAGACUGCUCAAAAUUUAAUAAUUUCUAUCCAACAUAAAAAAUAACAGACUUCACUCCAAUCAAUCUAGAUUCACAGAAUUCUCGUAAUCACAGACUCCCUAUGUCCAAAACAUACACAACUCUCAAUAAACAACAAUCAUAAUCUUCCAUCCAUAAUCAAUCUUCCAAUAACUUCUCAUAUAAUUCAAUCACUCAGUAUUCCAAUUACAUAAUCAAUAACUCGUAAAUCAAUCUCUGAUUUAUUCUAUAGACUUACUUCUCUAUAUUCAAAAACUAUCCAUUACUCUUCAACAACAAAGAAAACAAAGAAAACAAAGAAAACAAAAAAGAAGCACUAAGCUUAACCCCGGCUCAUGACUAUCACAGUUUGGCACCCCUACAAACUUCUACAACUCUUAUAUAAUUACUAUUGAUUAUCAAAUCUUAAUUGUAAUCUUGUAAUAAAUUGCUUAUAAUAACUAAAUCAACCAUCUGUCCUCCUAAACUCACUAUUCUAUAGACUAUUAAUCUAUUUUACUAAUAUCUUACAAAAACAAACUAAUAUCUAUUCUACAUAGCCCCAUUUCUAUUUGUGAAGCAUCUUCAUAAAUAUACAAUUGAUUCUUAUUUAAAAACUACUUAAUAAAACUCUACAAAGUUACUAGUUCUUCUAGGCCAUCCAAUUAAUCAUUUGCUGUAUUAUCGAAUGUAGGUUCUACCAAUUCUAAUUCUAAAUUCAAAUUUUUCUCCUCCUCCAAUCUGUCUAUCGGCUCCUUUCUCAACUAGUCUAAUAGAUCUUCAUUAUACUCACCCAAUUCAUAGACUUGAGCCUCCAAUUUCAAGAACUAGGCAUCACGGAGUUCCAACUGAUGUUGCUGUUGACUCAUCCAUUCUGGAACAUCUUCAAUUGAUACUUAUGAUUA
RNAcentral lists this long non-coding RNA (1086 nucleotides) under Physcomitrium patens. Its description in RNAcentral is "long non-coding RNA (PPAT_LNC006144)". The record is from RNAcentral. Lineage: Eukaryota; Viridiplantae; Streptophyta; Bryopsida; Funariales; Funariaceae.